AUACUUACCUGGCAGGGGAGGUACCAUGAUCAUGAAGGUGGUUUUCGCAGGGCGAGGCUUAUCCAUUGCACUCUGGAUGUGCUGACCCCUGCAAUUUUCCCAAAUGUGGGAAACUCGACUGCAUAAUUUGUGGUAGUGGGGGACUGCAUUCACGCUCUCCAA
Molecule: small nuclear RNA, 162 nt
Filed under: Echinops telfairi (small Madagascar hedgehog)
Lineage: Eukaryota; Metazoa; Chordata; Mammalia; Afrosoricida; Tenrecidae
Description: U1 spliceosomal RNA (ENSETEG00000021963.1)
Rfam family: U1 spliceosomal RNA
About the family: U1 is a small nuclear RNA (snRNA) component of the spliceosome (involved in pre-mRNA splicing). Its 5' end forms complementary base pairs with the 5' splice junction, thus defining the 5' donor site of an intron.
Source: RNAcentral